ACAACUUUCAACAAUGGAUCUCUUGGUUCUGGCAUCGAUGAAGACCGCAGCU
RNAcentral lists this ribosomal RNA (52 nucleotides) under uncultured eukaryote. RNAcentral's name for it is "partial 5.8S ribosomal RNA". It matches the Rfam family "5.8S ribosomal RNA", at positions 1 to 50 of the family's 154-position model. From Rfam's summary of the family: 5.8S ribosomal RNA (5.8S rRNA) is a component of the large subunit of the eukaryotic ribosome. It is transcribed by RNA polymerase I as part of the 45S precursor that also contains 18S and 28S rRNA. The record is from RNAcentral.